Molecule: ribosomal RNA, 273 nt
Filed under: uncultured bacterium
Lineage: Bacteria
Description: partial 16S ribosomal RNA
Rfam family: Bacterial small subunit ribosomal RNA
Source: RNAcentral
UACAGAGACUGCAAGCGUUAUUCGGAUUCACUGGGCGUAAAGGGUGCGCAGGCGGCCGUGUGUGUAAGGUGUGAAAUCCCGGGGCUCAACCCCGGAACUGCGCCUUAAACUACAUGGCUAGAGUAUUGGAGAGGGUAGUGGAAUUCACGGUGUAGCAGUGAAAUGCGUAGAUAUCGUGAGGAACACCAGAGGCGAAGGCGACUACCUGGACAAUUACUGACGCUCAGGCACGAAAGCGUGGGGAGCAAAAGGGAUUAGAUACCCCAGUAGUCC